Molecule: unclassified non-coding RNA, 212 nt
Filed under: Hevea brasiliensis (rubber tree)
Lineage: Eukaryota; Viridiplantae; Streptophyta; Magnoliopsida; Malpighiales; Euphorbiaceae
Source: RNAcentral
UUUAGAUUCAAGCUUUGAUGAGUUAGGUUUUUGUUUUCUUGUCUUUAGGCAGAAUUAGAUACUAGAUAAAGAGAAAUAUACCAAAGAUUUAGCUGUUUAGGUUUGGAGAAAUUCUUGUUGUUUUGUUUGUACUAUUUUAUCCCUUUCCGUAAGCUUUCUUGGUUUGUUAUGUGACAAGUUCUCUUAAGUUCAAUUUAGAUAUGCAAAUGAUG